This 465-nucleotide ribosomal RNA is filed under the name uncultured bacterium. RNAcentral's name for it is "partial 16S ribosomal RNA". It matches the Rfam family "Bacterial small subunit ribosomal RNA", at positions 28 to 507 of the family's 1533-position model. The record is from RNAcentral.
GACGAACGCUGGCGGCGUGCUUAACACAUGCAAGUCGUACGGUAAGGCCCUUUCGGGGGUACACGAGUGGCGAACGGGUGAGUAACACGUGAGUAACCUGCCCACAACUUUGGGAUUACGCUAGGAAACUGGUGCUAAUACUGGAUAUGUGCUCCUGCUGCAUGGUGGGGGUUGGAAAGCUCCGGCGGUUGUGGAUGGACUCGCGGCCUAUCAGCUUGUUGGUGGGGUAGUGGCCUACCAAGGCGGCGACGGGUAGCCGGCCUGAGAGGGUGACCGGCCACAUUGGGACUGAGAUACGGCCCAGACUCCUACGGGAGGCAGCAGUGGGGAAUAUUGCACAAUGGGCGCAAGCCUGAUGCAGCAACGCCGCGUGCGGGAUGACGGCCUUCGGGUUGUAAACCGCUUUCAGCAGGGACGAAGCUUUUUGUGACGGUACCUGCAGAAGAAGCACCGGCUAACUACGUG